GAUGAACGCUGGCGGCGUGCCUAAUACAUGCAAGUCGAGCGAACAGACGAGGAGCUUGCUCCUCUGACGUUAGCGGCGGACGGGUGAGUAACACGUGGAUAACCUACCUAUAAGACUGGGAUAACUUCGGGAAACCGGAGCUAAUACCGGAUAAUAUAUUGAACCGCAUGGUUCAAUAGUGAAAGACGGUUUUGCUGUCACUUAUAGAUGGAUCCGCGCCGCAUUAGCUAGUUGGUAAGGUAACGGCUUACCAAGGCAACGAUGCGUAGCCGACCUGAGAGGGUGAUAGGCCACACUGGAACUGAGACGCGGUCCAGACUCCUACGGGAGGCAGCAGUAGGGAAUCUUCCGCAAUGGGCGAAAGCCUGACGGAGCAACGCGGCGUGAGUGAUGAAGGUCUUCGGAUCGUAAAACUCUGUUAUUAGGGAAGAACAAAUGUGUAAGUAACUAUGCACGUCUUGACGGUACCUAAUCAGAAAGCCACGGCUAACUACGUG
Molecule: ribosomal RNA, 497 nt
Filed under: uncultured bacterium
Lineage: Bacteria
Description: partial 16S ribosomal RNA
Rfam family: Bacterial small subunit ribosomal RNA
Source: RNAcentral